RNAcentral lists this ribosomal RNA (497 nucleotides) under uncultured bacterium. RNAcentral describes it as "partial 16S ribosomal RNA". It matches the Rfam family "Bacterial small subunit ribosomal RNA", at positions 28 to 507 of the family's 1533-position model. The record is from RNAcentral.
GAUGAACGCUGGCGGCGUGCCUAAUACAUGCAAGUCGAGCGAACGGACGAGAAGCUUGCUUUUCUGAUGUUAGCGGCGGACGGGUGAGUAACACGUGGAUAACCUACCUAUAAGACUGGGAUAACUUCGGGAAACCGGAGCUAAUACCGGAUAAUAUUUUGAACCGCAUGGUUCAAAAGUGAAAGACGGUCUUGCUGUCACUAAUAGAUGGAUCCGCGCUGCAUUAGCUAGUUGGUAAGGUAACGGCUUACCAAGGCAACGAUGCAUAGCCGACCUGAGAGGGUGAUCGGCCACACUGGAACUGAGACACGGUCCAGACUCCUACGGGAGGCAGCAGUAGGGAAUCUUCCGCAAUGGGCGAAAGCCUGACGGAGCAACGCCGCGUGAGUGAUGAAGGCCUUCGGAUCGUAAAACCCUGUUAUUAGGGAAGAAAAGAUGUGGAAGUAACUGUGGAUAUUUUGACGGUACCUAAAGAGAAAGCAACGGCUAACUACGUG